This 404-nucleotide ribosomal RNA is filed under the name uncultured bacterium. Its description in RNAcentral is "partial 16S ribosomal RNA". It matches the Rfam family "Bacterial small subunit ribosomal RNA", at positions 28 to 525 of the family's 1533-position model. The record is from RNAcentral.
GACGAACGCUGGCGGCGUGCUUAACACAUGCAAGUCGAGCGGAGCGGCGAACGGGUGAGUAACGCGUGAGUAACUGCCCCCCUCUCUGGGAUAACAGUUGGAAACGGCUGCUAAUACCGGAUAGUGGGGGAUGACUCGCGUCCUAUCAGCUUGUUGGUAGGGUAGUGGCGUACCAAGGCGAGGACGGGUAGCCGGCCUGAGAGGGCGACCGGCCACAUAGGGCGGGGAUACGGCCGAAACUCCGACGGGAGGCAGGAGUGGGGAAUAUUGCACAAUGGGGGAAACCCUGAUGCAGCAUCGCCGCGUGCGGGAUGACGGCCGUCGGGUUGUAAACCGGUUUCAGCCAUGACGCGGUAGUGGCAGAAGAAGCACCGGCGAACAACGUGCCAGCAGCCGCGGUAAUA